ACACACAAGAUGAUCUACAGGCUGUAUGCUGGGCUAUUCUUCUCGCUCUGUGUUGAUAUGACGGACAGGGAGUUGGCUUAUUUGGAGUGCAUCCACUUGUUUGUGUAGAUACUGGAUCACUUUUUUAGUAAUGUCUGCGAGUUAGAUUUGGUUUUUAACUUUCACAAGGUAUGGUUUGUCAGUCUUUCUCAUUGUGAAUCUCUGUAUUUUCUUUUAUUUCUACUGUAUUCACCUUGUGUAUGCUGCAUUGUAAUUUAUACUUCUGAUUGAUUGUUUUCCUAUGAAGGUAUAUCUAAUCUUAGAUGAAUUCGUUCUCGCUUGGGAGCUCCAAGAAACAAGUAAGAAGGCUAUCAUAGAGAGUUUGAAUGAAUUGGAGAAGUUGGAGUAAAGAUUGAUGAUCCAUGAUGGCCAACCUUCAUCCAUAUUCCAAACAUGACCUGAGGUUCGUGAAUCAGCAGGGUUGGCAUUCAGCACUCUCUACAUGACUGCUGGAAUGCAAGCAAUUGAUGAGAUUGUUCCUACACUUCUGCAUGCUCUGGAGGAAGAUCAAACCUCUGAUACUGCUCUGGAUGGUUUAAAACAGAU
Long non-coding RNA from Ipomoea nil (Japanese morning glory), 585 nucleotides. RefSeq lists it as uncharacterized. The record is from RefSeq and is a predicted model, not a curated record. The transcript is spliced from 4 exons. NCBI's taxonomy places the organism in Eukaryota, Viridiplantae, Streptophyta, Magnoliopsida, Solanales, Convolvulaceae.